RNAcentral lists this long non-coding RNA (5792 nucleotides) under Daucus carota (carrot). RNAcentral's name for it is "long non-coding RNA (DCAR_LNC000935)". Lineage: Eukaryota; Viridiplantae; Streptophyta; Magnoliopsida; Apiales; Apiaceae. The record is from RNAcentral.
GACUGGGAAACUGCUUUCUUCAAGACGCUGAAGGUGACAAGCAUAAGCAGUGAUAUCAUGAUCUUCUUUGAAGCAAGUAUCCGCAAGUUCACCUUCAUGCCAUGGUAACUCAUGAGCUUCAGUGUUGCUCUAAUUACUGACAUAAGCCAAGAUACAACGGACAAGAACACCACUUUCAUUGUGUCUGCAGGUCCAUUCACACUUCUUGUGCCUCCCGACACCUCGACACAGGACCAAGCAGCGCCUUGAUUAUCGGUGGUUCCACUAUGAUUGAGGCCAAGUUUCUCGUUCAACCAACAUGAUAAAGUCACAAGCAGCUUUGCAAGCCAUGCAAUCUCAUCACUGGAGACUGGUCGCAUCAACCAGUCACCCCUGUAUUUCUUACCAGUUUGCUUCUUGUUUCGUAUCAAACUGUUAGUAUUUUACAGACUCUAAGAUGUAAUGUCUGAAGAGUUUUCUAGAUCCAUUUUGAGGAUCAUACAUCUGUACUAUAAAAGAAAGAUCAUGUAAUGCAUUUCAUAAGAUGAAAUCAGUUCAAUAAAAUCUUUUUUAGUAAUCAUAUACUUUCAAUUACAACAGGUGGUAUCAAGAGCACAAGUCUAUCCAUUUCGGCACAAACAUUCUCUACACUAUGACAACAUUCAGCACUAUCUCUGCAGAGUCAUAAAAAAUAUCAAAUAGAUACUUUCUAAUAUCUUUUCGAGAAGUAAACUUUGUUUUUCAUUGAGUUUCACACAUUUUUCUUGGCUGUUAGUAUAAUCAACUAAAAGGCUAUGAAUUCUAGUAUUUUUUUAUAAUAUAUUCAGAUUUUAAGAAAUUUAUUUACUAUUUAUUUUUAAUUUUACAACUAUUUUGUUUCAUUUAUAUCAAAUAAAUAAUAAAUAAAUUUCUUAAAAUCUAAAUAUAUUAUCAUAAAUACUACUCCCUCCGUCCCUCCCAUUUCUUUACACUUUCCCUUUUGGGAUGUCCCAUCCAUUUCUUUACAUUUCAAAACUUAUCCAAAAUAGUCAAUUGGUCCCACCACUUCUUCACUUUUCUUUCCUUUUCACACUACUUUUACUCCACUAUCUUCUUUUUAUACAUUAAAAAUCAAUGGGUCCCACCACUUCACCCACUUUUCUUUCUCUUUUCCACUACUUUAUACAUAUUUCUUAACCUCCGUGCCCAACCCAAACAAUAAGAAAUGGGAGGGACGGGAGGAGUAUAAUUCAUAGCCUUUCAUUUGAUUAUACUAACAGCCAAGAAAAAUGUGUGGAACUCAAUGGAGAAUAAAGUUUACUUUUUGAACGGAUAUUAGAAGUAUCUAUUUGAUAUUUCUUAUGACUUUAAUGAUUCAAAUGAGACCAAAAAUUUCCAAGUGAUCCACCUGAUAUUUUCUAGUGCAAAAAGUGACCUAGUUGAUAAUUAACCCAAAUGAAAACUGCCUUACGAGCUUAUGACUUGUGGGAUCUUGUCGAGAAUGAGUUCCAAAAUCUGCAGAUCCUCAAGCUUCCCCACAAUCAUCCAGGUCAUCGACAAUUUCAGUGAAUGAAUCGCUCAAAAGGAACGCAGAUGCACUAGCAAAAACAACAAGCCGUUGCUGAUUAUAUUUUUCCCAGAAUCAUGAAUACUACUUCUGCAAAACAAGCUUGGGAGACAUUACAAGAUGAAUAAAUUCCAAGGCACUGCAAAAGUUUGAACAAUCAAACUUCAAAGCCUGCGAAGAGAAUUUGAGAAUAUCCGAAUGAAAGACACGAGUUAUUGGAGUUGUGAAUCAGAUGGAAGACCUUUGGCGACAACAUUUCAGAUCAAAGAGUCAUUAAAAAAUUGUUAAUUUCUCUCACAAAUAAGUAUGAUUCUAUUGUUGAAAUUAUAGGAGAAUCAAAAGACAUCUCUAUACUUUCUAUCACUGAACUUGUUGGUUCAUUACAAGUAACAAGCUCAUGAAUAACAAAUCUCUCGGCGAAUGUCGAAGGUGCUUUACAGUCACAACCUAGGAAGCAUGAGUGCAGGUGCGGGUACUGGGGUGCACAAUACGGGGAUACGGGAAUUCGGCAAAUUUAAAAAUAUGGGGAUUCGGGUGCGGGGGAUUCGGCAAUUAUUAAUAUAUUAAAAAUAUAUUUUAUACAUGUAUUUGAAGAGUUAUAUUCAUAUUUAAACUAAAUAAAUGAAUAAAUAAGUUCAAUAUCCUUAACAAUAUACAAUAUAAUUAUUUAAUAACACAAUUAUUGCAUUAUAAUGUAGUUAAGUGAUAGAGUAUUCAAUUAAUCACAGAAUUAAUCAUUAAAAAGAAUCCCUAAGAAUCACCGAAUAUCGAAGAAUCCCAAAAAUCGAGUGUGCGGUGCGGCGAGUGAGUGAAGUAUCCCUGCUUUUUAGGUCACAACACAAAAACUGGCCUCCAUCCAAAGGUUGAAAAUUUAGUAAAGGAAAAAAUGUUAGCAACAGCUUCAAGGAAGAUGCAAGGAAAUCUAAAUUCUACUGCAAAUUGUACAAGACUGUCGUAGUGCUAGUUAAUCCAAAGGCAAAACACCUUAGAUCUAGGAAGUACCGGAAGUACGGUACGCAAAUACGGGGAUUCGGGAAAAUGAGGAUACAGGUAUGGGGAUACGACAUACAUAAAAAAUAUUUGUAUUAUAUAUAUUAUAUAUUUAUUUAUAUAUAGCAAAACUAAAACUAACAUUCAAAUUAAAUCAAAGUACAUAAAAAUCAGCCACCAAGUCACCAACUAUAUACACAUAACCUCACACAUAAAUAUUAUCUAUAUUUUAACCAUAAACUCAUAAUUAAGAAAAUUAUGAGUCAAAGCAGGGAAGAACUUACCAAAGACGUAAAGAGGAUGGAAGAACUGGGAAGGGAAAUGGUUGAACAUUGUGCCGGUCUUCCGCUAGCUAUAGUCGUUUUGGGUGGAAUUCUUGUAACAAAACCGUCGUUGAUAGAGUGGGAGAAGGUAUAUCGUGAUAGUAAAUCAUCCCUCAAGGCGGGGAGAGGAUUGGAAGAAGCCUAUCAAAGGGAAAUAUUAAGUUUUUUAGUUUGGAGCUACAAUGAUUUACCCCCUCAGUUGAAGCCAUGCUUUUUAUAUUUAUCUAAGUUUGGUGAUAAUAAAUAUAUAGAAGUGGGGACUUUGUAUCAGCUGUGGAUCGCCGAAGGAAUGAUACUCUCGAGUGACAAAAGGGAAGGAGAAACAAUGAUUCAAGUGGCUGAAUCAUACAUGGGAGAACUAGUCCACAGGAGUAUGGUUCAAGUGAGAUUUAACAAUGUGAAAUCAUCACCUACAAAGUUUGAAGAUUGUUCUCUGCAUGACCUUAUGCGAGAUAUGUCUUUAAUACAAGCAAAAGCAGAAGAUUUUUUUGAAGAUAUACAUUCCAAAGUGCAAAUGAGUUUCAUCUCAAAUCUACUGCAGAUUCAAGAAACACAACUCGACUUGUGAUUAAUUUGGAUGAGGAAUAUUCUAGGAAAAAAGUUAAUUACUACUUCUCCAAGAAACGCGAUAAAAAAUGCUAUCGAUCAAUUUUACUCCUCGGUCAGUUUGGAGCGAGAAGUUUGCCACGGUCGCUCGGGUCACAUGUUGCCAAUUUUAGGUUCCUAAAAGUGUUUUCAGUGGAGAAAUAUACCAAUUUUUCUGGUGCAUUUUCCCAUAUUAAUUUUGGAAGAGCAUUAGGGGCCCUUGUUUACUUGCGAUAUCUUAGUGUAAGGGGCACUAAUUUGUUGGUUUUUCCUUCUAUACAAAAGUUGGUACUGUUACAAACUCUUAGAUUGCAUACAUGCGAUGAUAUGUAUGCUUUACCAUGGUUGUCAAGAGAUGUUCUGGUGAAGCUCGAUUGUUUGCGGCACCUGUAUUUGCCUAAAUUUAAAGUUGACGUUUUGGUAAGGAAAUCGAAAUUACGGUUUAAUGGGUUGAGCAAGUUAGAGACCCUGGAGAACUUUGACACUACUUGGUGUGAGGUUAAGGAUCUACGUGAACUAAUCAAUCUUCGGAAACUAAUGGUAACAGUGAGAGGUAGCUGUGAUAUUCUGGAAGAAAUGAUGAAAAACUUGGAUGAUAUAGCCUCCUCACCAUCUUCAUGUCUGAGCUACUUGGGUGUUGCUAUUAGUAAUUGUCAUCUCGAGCUGAACAAUGGUCUUACUAUCUUAAAACAAUUGGUAUAUGCUGAAAAUUUGAACCUUCGGGAUUUGAAAAUAUAUGGGCGUAUCCCAGAGGUGGGUCUAAUAUUUCCGCUUCAAUAUGUAUCUACAAUUGGUAUUACAAGUUUAACUUUAGCGAGUUCAUGCCUAGAAGAAGACCCGAUGCCAAUACUGGAAAUGCUUCCAAUGUUGGGUGUUCUCUGUUUGUUUAAGGAUACAUAUGUGGGGAAGGAGAUGGUGUGCUCCGCAACCUGUUUUCCUAAACUCACCUCUCUUUAUUUGCAAGAGUUCCCAAACCUUGAAAAAUGGAGGGUGGAGAAAGGAAGCAUGCCCAUGCUUUCAUACUUGCGUAUUGAAAGAUGUAACAAGUUGGAGGAGCUUCCCGAAGGCCUAGUGUUCCUCAAGUCCCUUCAAGUACUAGAUAUAUUUCAUAUGCUUCAAGAUUUUAAUGAUAGGCUUAAAAGGCAUGAUGGUGAAGAGGGACCCGACUUUCACAAAAUUUCUCAUGUCGAUAGACUCAUUAUUGACGAUCAGGAGUUAAAUUGAAUGUUCUUGCAAGCUUAUUAUUCCACAAAAUUAUUAGUUCACUUAUAAGGCUAUAAGCCAUAUUUGUCAAAAAAAACAAAAAAAAACUACUCCUUUAGAAAACGGCUCAGCGUUCUCAGGUUCAUAUUCACACCAUAUUCUCUUGUGAACUAGGGGCACAAUUUUCAUCAUUUUCUUUGUCUUACAAGCAUGCAAUCUAGUCAUUUGAAAUUGAUCACUUUAAAGACCAUCCUUGUGUCUCGUUCAUUUUCCUUGAGGUGAACAAGAGUUGAACAUAUUCGGAAGCAAUAAAUAUAACAGUCUUAUAACAGAAUAUCGAUUUAUGAUAAUGUUAGACUGCAGAAAAUGAGAGGAAGUAAUUUUUCACUGACCAAUAUGUAAUAUGUUUUCAUGCUAUUGCGGCCAACACAACAGAGUACAUUGUUUCCCACAUGUUGCAACAAAACACCAAAACUAGGAGACUUCUAACUCUUGACUCCACCCAUUGUUCAAACUUUUUCUUUGUGAUCUUUUUUUAUAAUGAAACACUUUUGUAUUUUUUUCCUUUAUAGUUAAAACUACGAUAUAUACAGCGUUUAGGACUGGGAAACUGCUUUCUUCAAGACGCUGAAGGCAACGAGCAUAAGCAGUGAUAUCAUGAUCUUCUUUGAAGCAAGAAUCCGCAAGUUCACCUUCAUGCCAUGGUCUCUCAUGAGCUUCACUGUUGCCCUAAUUACUGAAAUAAGCCAGAAUACAACGGACAAGAACACCACUUUCAUUGUGUCUGCAGGUCCAUUCACACUUCUUGUGCCUCCCGACACCUCGACAUAGGACCAAGCAGCGCCUUGAUUAUCGGUAGUUCCACUAUGAUUGAGGCCAAGUUUCUCGUUCAACCAACAUGAUAAAGUCACAAGCAGCUUUGCAAGCCAUGCAAUCUCAUCACUGGAGACUGGUCGCUUCAACCAGUCACCCCUGUAUUUCGUACCGGUUUGCUUCUUGUUGCGUAUCAUUCUAGGACUAAAUAUCUCAUCACGUGGAUGCUGAUUUUCUCUUGUCUCGGGGACUGCUUGUGUGUUCCUUGGAGUAGAGUUACCAAAUAAGCACCCCAUCUGGGCUUUGAUAGAAUCUAAACAAGCCAUAUUGUGAGCAUGAUUAUCUCCCAAGAC